CCUACGGGAGGCAGCAGUAGGGAAUUUUGCGCAAUGGGCGAAAGCCUGACGCAGCAACACCGCGUGAAUGUUAAGCCCUUCGGGGUGUAAAGUUCUGUCAAUAGGGACGAAUUUUGACUGUACCUAUAAAGGAAGCACCGGCUAACUCCGUGCCAGCAGCCGCGGUAAUACGGAGGAUGCGAGCGUUAUCCGGAUUCAUUGGGUUUAAAGGGUGCGCAGGCGGGCCUUUAAGCCGGCGGUGAAAUCGCGGGGCUCAACCCCGCCGAGCCGUCGGAACUGGGGGCCUUGAGUGCGGCGGAGGCAUGCGGAAUGCGCGGUGUAGCGGUGAAAUGCAUAGAUAUCGCGCAGAACCCCGAUUGCGAAGGCAGCGUGCCGUGCCGCCACUGACGCUGAGGCACGAAAGCGCGGGGAUCGAACAGGAUUAGAUACCCUUGUAGUC
This 439-nucleotide ribosomal RNA is filed under the name uncultured bacterium. RNAcentral's name for it is "partial 16S ribosomal RNA". It matches the Rfam family "Bacterial small subunit ribosomal RNA", at positions 338 to 795 of the family's 1533-position model. The record is from RNAcentral.